AGAGUUUGAUCAUGGCUCAGAGCGAACGCUGGCGGCGUGCUUAACACAUGCAAGUCGAGUGCGCGCCUGUAGCAAUACAGGUGGCGCACGGCGCACGGGUGCGUAACACGUGGGUAAUCUGCCCUUCGAUGGGGAAUAACUCGCCGAAAGGCGAGCUAAUUCCGCAUAACAUUCCGAGAACCUUGGUUUUUGGAUUCAAAGGCGUAAGUCGUCGGAGGAGGAGCCCGCGCACGAUUAGCUAGUUGGUGAGGUAAUGGCUCACCAAGGCUAUGAUCGUUAGCUGGUCUGAGAGGAUGGCCAGCCACACUGGAACUGAGACACGGUCCAGACUCCUACGGGAGGCAGCAGUGGGGAAUCUUGCACAAUGGGCGAAAGCCUGAUGCAGCGACGCCGCGUGGGGGAUGAAGCUUUUCGGAGUGUAAACCCCUUUCGACCCGGACGAAUGCCUCGCAAGAGGACUGACGGUACGGGUAUAAGAAGCCCCGGCUAACUACGUGCCAGCAGCCGCGGUAAGACGUAGGGGGCCAGCGUUGCUCGGAAUUACUGGGUGUAAAGGGUUCGUAGGCGGUGUGGCAAGUCGGGAGUGAAAUCUCUGGGCUCAACCCAGAGUCUGCUUCCGAAACUGCUGUGCUUGAGUGUGGGAGAGGCGCGUGGAAUUGCAGGUGUAGCGGUGAAAUGCGUAGAUAUCUGCAGGAACACCCGUGGCGAAAGCGGCGCGCUGGACCACUACUGACGCUGAGGAACGAAAGCUAGGGGAGCAAACAGGAUUAGAUACCCUAGUAGUCC
Molecule: ribosomal RNA, 786 nt
Filed under: uncultured bacterium
Lineage: Bacteria
Description: bacterial SSU rRNA
Rfam family: Bacterial small subunit ribosomal RNA
Source: RNAcentral